Molecule: unclassified non-coding RNA, 389 nt
Filed under: uncultured Penicillium
Lineage: Eukaryota; Fungi; Ascomycota; Eurotiomycetes; Eurotiales; Aspergillaceae
Description: sequence contains ITS2
Rfam family: 5.8S ribosomal RNA (bases 1-154)
Source: RNAcentral
AACUUUUAGCAACGUGUCACUUGGUUCCGGCAUCGAUUAAGAACGCAGCGAAAUGCGAUAAGUAAUGUGAAUUGCAGAAUUCCGUGAAUCAUCGAAUCUUUGAACGCACAUUGCGCCCCCUGGCAUUCCGGGGGGCAUGCCUGUCCGAGCGUCAUUUCUGCCCUCCAGCCCGGCUGGGUGUUGGGUGCUGUCCCCCCGGGGACACGCCCCAAAGGCAGUGGCGGCGCCGCGUCGGGUCCUCGAGCGUAUGGGGCUUUGUCACUCGCUCGGGAAGGACUCGUCGGCGCUGGUCUUCCUCCAGGCGACCCUUCGGGGCUCGUCUUCUUUCGGUUGACCUCGGAUCAGGUAGGGUUACCCGCUGAACUUAAGCAUAUCAAUAAGCGGAGGCU